CCUGGCCGUAAACGAUGGGUACUAGGUGUAGGAGGUAUCGACCCCUCCUGUGCCGGAGUUAACGCAAUAAGUACCCCGCCUGGGGAGUACGUCCGCAAGGAUGAAACUCAAAGGAAUUGACGGGGGCCCGCACAAGCGGUGGAGUAUGUGGUUUAAUUCGACGCAACGCGAAGAACCUUACCAAGGCUUGACAUUGAGUGACGGCCAUAGAGAUAUGGCUUUCCCUUCGGGGACACGAAAACAGGUGGUGCAUGGCUGU
RNAcentral lists this ribosomal RNA (259 nucleotides) under uncultured bacterium. RNAcentral describes it as "partial 16S ribosomal RNA". It matches the Rfam family "Bacterial small subunit ribosomal RNA", at positions 795 to 1052 of the family's 1533-position model. The record is from RNAcentral.